CCUACGGGAGGCUGCAGUGGGGAAUAUUGGACAAUGGGGGGAACCCUGAUCCAGCCAUGCCGCGUGUGUGAAGAAGGCCCUCGGGUUGUAAAGCACUUUCAGUGAGGAAGAACGCCUGGUGGUUAAUACCCAUCAGGAAAGACAUCACUCACAGAAGAAGCACCGGCUAACUCCGUGCCAGCAGCCGCGGUAAUACGGAGGGUGCGAGCGUUAAUCGGAAUUACUGGGCGUAAAGCGCGCGUAGGUGGCUUGAUAAGCCGGUUGUGAAAGCCCCGGGCUCAACCUGGGAACGGCAUCCGGAACUGUCAAGCUAGAGUGCAGGAGAGGAAGGUAGAAUUCCCGGGUUAGCGGUGAAAGGCGAAGAGUUCGGGAGGAAUACCAGUGGCGAAGGCGGCCUUCUGGACUGACACUGACACUGAGGUGCGAAAGCGUGGGUAGCAAACAGGAUUAGAUACCCCGGUAGUC
This 465-nucleotide ribosomal RNA is filed under the name Vreelandella stevensii. Its description in RNAcentral is "partial 16S ribosomal RNA". It matches the Rfam family "Bacterial small subunit ribosomal RNA", at positions 338 to 795 of the family's 1533-position model. Lineage: Bacteria; Pseudomonadati; Pseudomonadota; Gammaproteobacteria; Oceanospirillales; Halomonadaceae. The record is from RNAcentral.